GGCGACGAUGCAGGAGAAAAAGCUCGCCUCUGUCUGCCCAGCGCCGCCGGCUGAACUACGCGCCGAGGGCAGCAAAGAAAGGGCAGCGGGUGGCAGUUAAGGGGCAGUCCUUCUCCGCCAGCCGCCGUCGCCUUCUCCGCAAUGGCGGGAGGCGGGGACAGCGCUCGGGUAGAGAAGGAGGAAAGACAAGCUCUUCCUUUCGCGGAGGGAGGCCCUCCCGCUCCCUUAGCCUCCGGUGCUGCGCCUCUCCUGCUUACCGUCGUCACAAUGACAUCAUAAAGAACAGAUGGAUUGUAAAAGUGAAAUGUAUCGGGAAAGACUAAAAGAGUGCAUGAUGAGCCCUGAGAAGAUGAACAACAUCUGGUACAGGAAUGGGCACAGCUGAUGUAUCAGAUGAAGCCGCUGAAAAGCACUCCUGACUACCAUCACCAGGAAACAUCCAGGAUCACUGUUGGAUCCAGUACCACUCCAAAGCUGCACACCAGGUUCUUAAGGGGGAGGGCAAUUCCAUCCCAAAGAGGCUAAACACCUGAUCCUGGAUCAAGCUCUUCUCAUAGACACAGGCUGGGUGAGAGAGUCUGAAGAGGUGUUGAAGAGGGGAGCAUCACUAGAAUAGAGUGCUUCCAGGCACCUCUUUGUCCCAGAGGCUCAUGUGAAGAAGCACAGUCUCAUCCAGAUGUUUACCUUUCGGUGAAGGACAGAGGUGGACAACCACUUGUGGCCCUCUGGAUACUUUUUGUAAAGGAUGGCUCCCACAAUCCCUGACUAUUGGCCAUGUUGACUGGGUCUGAUGGGGGUUGGAGUCCAACAACAUCUGGUGGGCCACAGGUGAGUCAUCCCAGAUGUAGGGUUCAUAAUUUGGUACUGAAAGCUGUCUGCCUGGCAACAUGCACCUCAUGUAGAGCUGGAAGAAGUUUUCUCCACUUUUCCUGGUUCAUUCCCUUCCCAACUCCUAGUUUUUAGCUCAUGCCACAAAAUAUCCCCCAGCCAGAAAGGACCAUCUUCCUUAUCACAGCUACAACAUGUUUUGCAAGCUUAACAAAUCUGUGGGCUCAUAUAAAAGGACAUGUAUGUGUGGCUGAUAGAAAGAGAAGUGUGGCAGUGGCACAAACAUGUUCAAUAUGGCUAUUAAACACGUAAAGCUCUGAUAUGAAAUGAUUUUGUACCAAACAUAGAUAGCAGAGGCUGGGGUUUCACCGAGAUCUUUUUUACAGCAGCUGCAGGAAAUUUUUACAGCAGUUUAUAACAGGAUAACAUUUUUUCUCUUUGAAAUAUCUAAGCAGGAAAAAAGAAGUUAGUGAGUAAACAUGAGCUGGAAAUUAGAGACAAUACCAAAUAAAUGUCAUGUUUCAUUACUCAUAUUUUAGUAGCGAUUCCCUUGUGAUAAAUUUACAGAUUAGUUGUGAAAUACUGUGUCUCAUUUGCGGCAAGUGGUGAUUUCAUAGCCCAUAACAUUGUCUCCCCUUCUUGUAAUACAGCAGAGAAUCAGAGUCACUUCACAAAAGGUAUCAUGCUGGGAAUUUUGCUUUCAUGCCCUGCUGCCAAGCAUCCCAGAGCCAUCUGGCUGGACACUUGUUAAAAACAAUGCGUGAUCCAGCAGGGCUGUUGUGCAGGUUUGCACCUAAAAAUCUUAAGUGUGACUGCAGCAAACAAAUCUUUCAAACACAUCAGGAGCCAUGUUUGACUGCUGUUCCCUACUGAGUGAAAGCAUGGUAGCAAGCUCAAGUCUGCUUCUGCACAAUGUGUGAGAAAGCAUUCAAUCAGCGGAUCAUUCAGCUUUGUAAUACUGUGAGCACAGCUGGCAUAUUUGGUAUAGCAUCUGGGAAUUGAGGUGGCUCGAGUGCAAUCUGAGAAUAUAUGUAUGUUCUUUCCAUCUUCAUCCUCUGUCCACAUUGUUAGUGCUCUGUGUUAACAAAAUAUACAGGCCAGAGGUAGGGAACGUUUUUCAGUCUGAGGGCCACAUUACAUUGAGGGAACGCUGUUGGGGGCCAUAUUCCAGCUGUGAGUGGGGCCACACACACUCAUAUACACUUAGUCACACACCCCAAACACACUCCCACUGUAUAGACAAAAGAUAUGUUUUAUUAUUCAUAACCUGCUAGGAAAUGAAGAAGCAUCAUAGAUCACUCUCCUGUCAGAUCCACUUACAUGCUGCAGACCUAACCUUAUAGCAUCCUGACUGUAGCUUUUCCUCCUUUUUUCUUUGACUACUCCCACACAUAGUCAUAGCCAGGAAAGCAAAUGAUGCUGGCUGAAGCCAAGCACACCAAGGCACUCGAUCAAAAAAUGCCACUAUAAUUUAACCCAAGAAGCUCACUGAGUAACUAGAUAGAUAUUGAGCAUACUUGUCUCUAAUUGAGUAUUGGUGAAUUUGACAUUAAAAGCUGUGAAGCACCAGCUCUAAUUCUUUAAAAACUGCCUGAAGGCUAUGAGGUCUGAAGACAUAUUAGCAACAUGAUCAAAGAAACACAUUGUGGGCAAGCAAAUUGAAUGUAAUCCAGCCACAGCAAAACACUUUUAAGUCCCAUUCGUUCCUGCGGAAGAAUUAAGCAUUCACAUAAAUCCCAUUGAAAACAAUAGCACUUAAACAGCUUAACCAUGGCUGGACUGGGUCCAUUGUAUUUAACACAAUAGAAAAAAAGAAGUGCAAGGGAGAAUUAUUAGUUUCAAGAAAAGCUACUGGGUAAGUGUGUGGAUAGUGUCAUUACAUAGAUUAGCAACGAGGUGGCACUGGACCUAGUGAUAUCUGGGUAGAGUCAGAAGUUUCCUGUUGCUGUUAAGUUUUUGGUAUAGAGAGAUAAUAUGGUUCUUGUUUAGCUUCCUAGCUGCUGUGUCUUGUAAGCCUUCCAUGACUGACUUAUAGAGCGUAUAUUAAUAAAAAGUUGUAUUUCACACUUAAUUCAUUGGAAGCUGGGAGGCACAGCCCAAUUCUCUAAUUAAAAUUUGAAAUUAAAAGUGUGUUUUAAUUUUUGGCCUCUUUUCCUGGGGCCAUCUAGUAUCAAAAACAUUCACUGUCCACCUGAGCCAGGAUCAGAGCAGACUGGUCUUCUCCAGUUGUGUCCUCUUCUUGCCUGUCAAAAAGGAGCCAUUUAUGUCAUAUAGAUGAAGGGGGGGGGAAUGGGCGUCUCUAUGCCCACAAGAAUAAUAUAGUGAAUGGUAUGAAGAAAGUGAACAGGUCUCCCUCUCUCAUAACCCCAGAGACAUCCAGUAAAGGGGAUUAGCAGGAGAUUCAGGACAGACAAAAGGAAGCACUUCACAUAGUGCCAAAAUAAUUUAGGAAAUGUGCUGCAAUCAUAAAUAUGUCAACUCAGAACUAAAUCCCAUUGAAUUCAGUGGGGCUUACUCAAAAGUAUAUGGGAUUAGGAUUGUAGCCUUAGAUGUCUUUAAAAAGGAGAUUCGACGAAUUCAUGGAGCAUUGAUCUAAAGGGGUCCUCAAACCUUUUGGGCCCAUGGGAACAUUUGGAAAUCAGAAAAUGCUGUCAAGCAGCAGAAAACACCAAUUUCAUAGAGGAAAAAAUUGGCAAUACUCAGAAGCCCCCCUCACAUACAUACACCCACACAAACAAACAGACAAGGCAUAUCCCUCCAAAAAAAAAGUCACAGACAAAAAGCAGGAAACACCUCACCCCAAACAGACAAGCUCCUUUCAAACACACACACGCACACAUUUGAAUUUAAAAUAAAAAAUAGGGGGAGAGGGCCUUGGUAGGUGCCAAGGGGAGUACCUGAGAAUGCCCUGGUGCCUACAGGCACCACAUUGGGGACUCCAGGUUUACCAGUAGCUAUUUGUCAUGAUAACCUCACAUGAAACCUCCAUCUUCAGAGGCCAUGUGUCUUUCCUAGCCCUACCCAGGAAUGUCAGGAAUUGAACCCAGGACCUUCUGCAUGCAAAGCAUGUGCUCUACCACCACUGAACUACAGAAUUAGCAAGGAAGAGCCAUGUGUACCAGUGUGAUACAUUAUAUGUGGGGUCCAGAAAUUUGAAUUAAUUCAAAAUCCUGGUGCAAGAUUGCUAGUGGGAAUGGGCAGCACAAGCAUAUUACUCUAUUGGCUCUCACUUCAUUUCUAGGCCCAGUUCAAAGAGGGUGUUUUUUUAACCUUGGGACCUUUAUUGUUGAUUUGUUUUAUUACAUGUA
This is a long non-coding RNA of Rhineura floridana, 4136 nucleotides long. RefSeq lists it as uncharacterized. The record is from RefSeq and is a predicted model, not a curated record. Lineage: Eukaryota; Metazoa; Chordata; Lepidosauria; Squamata; Rhineuridae. The transcript has 3 exons.